ACAAGUCUCCGUUGGGAACCAGGGAGGGAUCAUUAUGAGUUUACGCUCUAUAACCCUUUGUGAACAUACCUAUAACUGUUGCUUCGGCGGGCAGGGUCUCCGUGACCCUCCCGGCCUCCCGCCCCCGGGCGGGUCGGCGCCCGCCGGAGGAUAACCAAACUCUGAUUUAACGACGUUUCUUCUGAGUGGUACAAGCAAAUAAUCAAAACUUUUAACAACGGAUCUCUUGGUUCUGGCAUCGAUGAAGAACGCAGCGAAAUGCGAUAAGUAAUGUGAAUUGCAGAAUUCAGUGAAUCAUCGAAUCUUUGAACGCACAUUGCGCCCGCCAGCAUUCUGGCGGGCAUGCCUGUUCGAGCGUCAUUUCAACCCUCAAGCUCUGCUUGGUGUUGGGGCCCUACAGCUGAUGUAGGCCCUCAAAGGUAGUGGCGGACCCUCCCGGAGCCUCCUUUGCGUAGUAACUUUACGUCUCGCACUGGGAUCCGGAGGGACUCUUGCCGUAAAACCCCCCAAUUUUCCAAAGGUUGACCUCGGAUCAGGUAGGAAUACCCGCUGAACUUAAGCA
Molecule: ribosomal RNA, 562 nt
Filed under: Colletotrichum sp.
Lineage: Eukaryota; Fungi; Ascomycota; Sordariomycetes; Glomerellales; Glomerellaceae
Description: eukaryotic LSU rRNA
Rfam family: 5.8S ribosomal RNA (bases 207-360)
Source: RNAcentral